CCUACGGGUGGCAGCAGUAGGGAAUAUUGCUCAAUGGGGGAAACCCUGAAGCAGCAACGCCGCGUGGGGGAUGAAGGUUUUCGGAUUGUAAACUCCUUUUGUUAGAGAAGAUAAUGACGGUAUCUGACGAAUAAGCACCGGCUAACUCCGUGCCAGCAGCCGCGGUAAUACGGAGGGUGCCAGCGUUACUCGGAAGCACUGGGCGUAAAGAGCGCGUAGGCGGGAUAGCAAGUCAGAGGUGAAAUCCUAUGGCUUAACCAUAGAACUGCAUUUGAAACUGUUAUUCUAGAGUAUGGGAGAGGUAUGUGGAAUGCGUGGUGUAGCGGUAAAAUCCGUAGAGAUCAAGAGGAACACUCAUUGCGAAGGCGACAUGCUAGAACAUAACUGACGCUGAGGCGCGAAAGCGUGGGGAGCAAACAGGAUUAGAUACCCCGGUAGUC
This 440-nucleotide ribosomal RNA is filed under the name uncultured bacterium. Its description in RNAcentral is "partial 16S ribosomal RNA". It matches the Rfam family "Bacterial small subunit ribosomal RNA", at positions 338 to 795 of the family's 1533-position model. The record is from RNAcentral.